GGAAGAAACAUCUUUAAGAACAUUAGCAUGGAUAAACUCAGACUAUGGAUUCCCCCAAGCAAUCUAUCAAAGUUACAGAUGGGAAGGUUUUUCCUUGCCAUAGAGAAGUUCACUGACCUUUAUUUUAGAUGUGAGAAAAGAAGAAGUUGGCAAUACCAAUUAUUUGUCAUUUGCAAAUGAUCCAUUAGAGACUAUUAUAUCAUGUUACAUCUGCACUAGCACACUGUCACAAUAAAUGUCAGGGGAUAAUGGAUGCA
This 257-nucleotide long non-coding RNA is filed under the name Parus major (Great Tit). Its description in RNAcentral is "lncRNA (ENSPMJG00000007511.1)". Lineage: Eukaryota; Metazoa; Chordata; Aves; Passeriformes; Paridae. The record is from RNAcentral.